CCUACGGGCGGCAGCAGUGAGGAAUAUUGGUCAAUGGACGCGAGCCUGAACCAGCCAAGUCGCGUGAGGGAAGACUGCCCUAUGGGUUGUAAACUUCUUUUAUCAAGGAAUAAAACGAGGCACGUGUGCCUUUUUGCAUGUACUUUAUGAAUAAGGAUCGGCUAACUCCGUGCCAGCAGCCGCGGUAAUACGGAGGAUCCGAGCGUUAUCCGGAUUUAUUGGGUUUAAAGGGAGCGUAGGUGGGUUGUUAAGUCAGUUGUGAAAGUUUGCGGCUCAACCCUAAAAUUGCCAUUGAUACUGGCAGUCUUGAGUACAGUAGAGGUAGGCGGAAUGCGUGGGGUAGCGGUGAAAUGCUUAGAUAUCACGAAGAACCCCGAUUGCGAAGGCAGCUUACUAAACUGUGACUGACAUUGAUGCUCGAAAGUGUGGGUAUCAAACAGGAUUAGAUACCCGAGUAGUC
RNAcentral lists this ribosomal RNA (460 nucleotides) under uncultured bacterium. RNAcentral's name for it is "partial 16S ribosomal RNA". It matches the Rfam family "Bacterial small subunit ribosomal RNA", at positions 338 to 795 of the family's 1533-position model. The record is from RNAcentral.